RNAcentral lists this ribosomal RNA (328 nucleotides) under Zootoca vivipara (common lizard). RNAcentral's name for it is "partial 16S ribosomal RNA". It matches the Rfam family "Bacterial large subunit ribosomal RNA", at positions 2004 to 2538 of the family's 2925-position model. Lineage: Eukaryota; Metazoa; Chordata; Lepidosauria; Squamata; Lacertidae. The record is from RNAcentral.
AUGAGGACUAAUCUGUCUCUUACGGACCAACCAAUGAAAUUAAUCUUUCAGUACAAAAGCUGAAAUAAAAACAUAAGACGAGAAGACCCUGUGGAGCUUCAAACCAAACACACCCUGCAUGCUCCUCAGGUUUUUAGUUGGGGCGACUUCGGAGCACAAUAAAACCUCCAAAAUUUUUUAUCUUCAAGAUUAACAAACCAAAAACUUUAUUAGACCCAGCAAUGUAUAACAUUGUCUGAUCACUGAACCAAGUUACCCCAGGGAUAACAGCGCCAUCCCCUCCUAGAGUCCAUAUCGACAAGGGGGUUUACGACCUCGAUGUUGGAUC